RNAcentral lists this ribosomal RNA (254 nucleotides) under uncultured bacterium. RNAcentral describes it as "partial 16S ribosomal RNA". It matches the Rfam family "Bacterial small subunit ribosomal RNA", at positions 524 to 776 of the family's 1533-position model. The record is from RNAcentral.
UACGUAGGGAGCAAGCGUUGUCCGGAAUCAUUGGGCGUAAAGCGCGCGUAGGUGGCCAUUUAAGUCCGCUGUGAAAGUCAAAGGCUCAACCUUUGAAAGCCGGUGGAUACUGGAUGGCUAGAGUACGGAAGAGGCGAGUGGAAUUCCUGGUGUAGCGGUGGAAUGCGCAGAUAUCAGGAGGAACACCAAUAGCGAAGGCAGCUCGCUGGGACGUUUACUGACACUGAGGCGCGAAAGCGUGGGGAGCGAACAGG